GUGAGGAAUAUUGGUCAAUGGGCGGAAGCCUGAACCAGCCAAGUAGCGUGCAGGAAGACGGCCCUACGGGUUGUAAACUGCUUUUAUGCGGGGAUAAAGUGCAAUACGUGUAUUGCUUUGCAGGUACCGCAUGAAUAAGGACCGGCUAAUUCCGUGCCAGCAGCCGCGGUAAUACGGAAGGUCCGGGCGUUAUCCGGAUUUAUUGGGUUUAAAGGGAGCGCAGGCCGCCCCUUAAGCGUGUUGUGAAAUGCCGCGGCUCAACCGUGGCACUGCAGCGCGAACUGGGGGGCUUGAGUGCGCCGGAGGUAGGCGGAAUUCGUGGUGUAGCGGUGAAAUGCUUAGAUAUCACGAAGAACUCCGAUUGCGAAGGCAGCCUACCGUAGCGUUACUGACGCUGAGGCUCGAAGGUGCGGGUAUCGAACAGGAUUAGAAACCCCUGUAGUCC
This 445-nucleotide ribosomal RNA is filed under the name uncultured bacterium. RNAcentral's name for it is "bacterial SSU rRNA". It matches the Rfam family "Bacterial small subunit ribosomal RNA", at positions 354 to 796 of the family's 1533-position model. The record is from RNAcentral.